Molecule: ribosomal RNA, 471 nt
Filed under: Triticum aestivum (bread wheat)
Lineage: Eukaryota; Viridiplantae; Streptophyta; Magnoliopsida; Poales; Poaceae
Description: partial small subunit ribosomal RNA
Source: RNAcentral
AUGAUUGAAGCCGAGCUCAACCAUCUUUGUCAGUGCGUGUGGGAUUGGCAGGUGACUCCGACCUCCGACAACUCAUUCACAAUGAUCUUUCCGGAUGCUAUCAGCUUGGGCUACUGCACCCACAGCGGAGACAUCACCUUGACCCUCAACAAACUGGUGGUCGACAUCUCUGAGCCGAAGUUCGAUCCCAAGGCGGUGGCAGUCCUGGACAUGGCUUGGAUCCUCAUUGCGGGGCUCCCCGACGUCGCGCGAUCCGAGCGGGUGAUUCGCAAUAUGUCCAAGAUCCUCGGCAAGGUGGUGGUGGUGGUCGAUGAGAUCUCUCUACGGAAGGAGGAGGAGGUCCAGGUCAAGGUCAAAUGCCUGGACUCCUCCAAGCUUCGCGCCACCGUCCGUGUCUUCUUCAACGUCCAGGGAUUCGACCUCAAGAUCGGCCCGAGCCCCCAACCACGUCGGCCACCCCCACUACUCUGA